RNAcentral lists this ribosomal RNA (460 nucleotides) under uncultured bacterium. Its description in RNAcentral is "partial 16S ribosomal RNA". It matches the Rfam family "Bacterial small subunit ribosomal RNA", at positions 338 to 795 of the family's 1533-position model. The record is from RNAcentral.
CCUACGGGGGGCAGCAGUGAGGAAUAUUGGUCAAUGGGCGGGAGCCUGAACCAGCCAAGUCGCGUGAGGGAAGACGGUCCUAUGGAUUGUAAACCUCUUUAGGCGGGGAGCAAUGCCGGGCACGCGUGCCCGGAGGGAGAGUACCCGCAGAAUAAGCAUCGGCUAGCUCCGUGCCAGCAGCCGCGGUAAUACGGAGGAUGCGAGCGUUAUCCGGAUUUAUUGGGUUUAAAGGGUGCGCAGGCGGAGGCACAAGUCAGCGGUAAAAUCGCGGGGCUCAACCCCGCUCCGCCGUUGAAACUGUGUCCCUUGAGUGCGCGAAGGGUAGGCGGAAUGCGUGGUGUAGCGGUGAAAUGCAUAGAUAUCACGCAGAACUCCGAUCGCGAAGGCAGCCUACCGGCGCGCAACUGACGCUCAUGCACGAAAGCGUGGGUAUCGAACAGGAUUAGAUACCCUUGUAGUC